CUCGGUCGCGCCAUCGGGGAAGGGGGGUGGACGUGAUCCGCGUAGGCCUGCUUCCCGACUCCAAGGUAAAGUCCAUUGCCGCCCGCGAGCACCGCCUGGUGUUGUGAAUUAUCGUCGUAAUUUUUUCUUCCCUGAUCUGCUUGCAGCCGAAUUCUAUGUGACUGCCAUUGAUUCUAGGGCAGGCCUGAAUCCCCACGGUUUUCCUCUUUUUGUUCGCCUGUGAUUAAGGUAAAAGCCUGGAUGUAAUCCUUGUUAUGUGCGCAGAGGUUUACGAUCUCGGCUCUUUCCUUCUGAAUUUCUGCUGAAAUUCAUUGAAGCAUGUUGCUGAUAGGGCAUCGACGAUGCUCGCCAAGCAAUACUCUGGUUUCCGCGUACUCAUUCACGAGAGAUUCACUCCAUAGCCGUCAGAGAACAUCGAAGAAGAAGAAAGAUUAUACUCAGUCUCAACUCCGAAAGGAGAUGUUCACCGUCCAUCUCACACCUCCUAUUUUUAAAUUUGUUUCAGAUCUGCUAUCCUAUCCCGGUUGAUGUUUAUUCUUUCUUUCCGCACUCUGUGGAGCUUUGUUUUCAUCAAGCUUUGAUCAAAUUUAUUUUUGCAACCACAUCUAAGAAAAAAUCACAAUGUAUAUCCUUAAUGCACAGGUUAUAAUUUUUCGAAGAACGAGUGAUUCAUACUAUUUUGGAGAAACGUGGGAUAAAAUCAUUCAUCCUUGAUAUUCCAUAUUUACGAGCUUCC
Molecule: long non-coding RNA, 736 nt
Filed under: Spirodela polyrhiza (greater duckweed)
Lineage: Eukaryota; Viridiplantae; Streptophyta; Magnoliopsida; Alismatales; Araceae
Description: long non-coding RNA (SPOL_LNC001252)
Source: RNAcentral